CGCCUCUCGGAUCUAGGCCCUCAACCUCCUGCAGUUCAAAGAUCUUAAUGCAGAUAAGAGUCCAUUCCAGCGGACAUAUGCUGCCCAGAUUAACUGAAGAUGAAGAAUUUAAAAGAGUGGUUUUCCUAUGAGCUAUUGUCUAAAUCAUUACUAUCUGCAAGGCCUUUCAGCUUCUUUUAUGAGGAAUCACUGGAUGGUGAACUUGGCAACCGAGGAGAAAUAUUGAGGUCUCUAUGGUGAUUUCGGAUUCUAACCCUUGCUAUGAAGACGUACAUAUGAGGCUUGCUGCAGUACUUUUAAUGUUACUAUUGAGUCCAACUGAGUGUUAUGUUUGUUUCCUGGUCUUUUCUUUCUUCUGUCAUGAUCAUGUUCAUGCCUGAACAUUUAAAAAAUGGGAAAUAAGUGGACUAUGGUUGUGCUACUAUUUUGUUUAUAGACGAACUUACUACUCUUCUAGUUUAUCAAGUAAUUAAGUAGAUUGUCCUUACUAA
Long non-coding RNA from Asparagus officinalis (garden asparagus), 491 nucleotides. RefSeq lists it as uncharacterized. The record is from RefSeq and is a predicted model, not a curated record. NCBI's taxonomy places the organism in Eukaryota, Viridiplantae, Streptophyta, Magnoliopsida, Asparagales, Asparagaceae. The transcript is spliced from 4 exons.